GAUGGAUCCGAGGUGCAAAAUCCUUAUAGUUAUGGGAAAAACAGAUGUUACCGCUCCUCUGCAUAAGCAACAGUCCAUGAUCUUAGUUGACAUCCAGACUCCAGGUGUAAUUGUUAAAAGACCACUCACAGUGUUUGGCUUUGAUGACGCACCUCAUGGCCAUGCUGAGAUAAUAUUUGACAAUGUGCGUGUUCCUGCAACGAAUAUUUUACUUGGAGAGGGUCGUGGAUUUGAAAUUGC
Molecule: unclassified non-coding RNA, 240 nt
Filed under: Hevea brasiliensis (rubber tree)
Lineage: Eukaryota; Viridiplantae; Streptophyta; Magnoliopsida; Malpighiales; Euphorbiaceae
Source: RNAcentral